This is a long non-coding RNA of Oreochromis niloticus (Nile tilapia), 728 nucleotides long. RefSeq lists it as uncharacterized. The transcript is spliced from 2 exons. Lineage: Eukaryota; Metazoa; Chordata; Actinopteri; Cichliformes; Cichlidae. The record is from RefSeq and is a predicted model, not a curated record.
CAUGAGUUUCUCAUUCUCUUUCUGAAACACUUAUUAACAUAGUAUCCUUAAGCAAAGUUAUUCUAAAGGGGUAUGUGAGGAAGAGAUGAGGUAGGGGAAAUGGGUACUGAAAAAGAAAUGGAUUCCUUAUGACCAACUUAAGAAUAACAGAAAAGAUACCAAAAAGUACAAAAAAUAAACCGAGAUUAAGAGAAUAACUUGUUUCCAUUCAAAAUGGAAUAAAAUUGUAUUCAUGUAAGGACGUGAGGAGGACCUCUGCCUCAGGUGAUGAAGAAAUCCAAACAGCGUGUUGGUUUCAAAUUGCAACAGCAAAGACAAGCUCCUUCUGUGCACUCUAACAGGUUAAUAUUCAAGCCAUAGAAACAUUCCUUAGACUACAAAGUCUAACUCAGCCCUUACUGAAUCUGACUGAAGAAUUUUUGUAGAUUCUACAGAGAGGGUGUAGAGUGUUACUUACCAUGUGGUCAUGUCCCAUUGUUUACGUAGGAUGUCAGCCAUUAUAGAAACAAAUAAAAAAGUAAAAGGCAAAAAGCAAACAGAAAAACCCCAACAAGAAUGGGAGCUUCAAAACUUCACAGCUUCAAGACUUCGACUUCAAAAGGUUGGCACUCAGCACCAGGCAUCCAGAAACUGCAGUCGCUGGACUUCAAAAGACCCAGUCACAUCCUGAGCUCAGAGAAAGUCCUCAUACACUACCUCCAGAAGAGAUGAGACACACCAGCUCGGAC